This 497-nucleotide ribosomal RNA is filed under the name uncultured bacterium. RNAcentral's name for it is "partial 16S ribosomal RNA". It matches the Rfam family "Bacterial small subunit ribosomal RNA", at positions 28 to 507 of the family's 1533-position model. The record is from RNAcentral.
GAUGAACGCUGGCGGCGUGCCUAAUACAUGCAAGUCGAGCGAACAGACGAGGAGCUUGCUCCUUUGACGUUAGCGGCGGACGGGUGAGUAACACGUAGGUAACCUACCUAUAAUACUGGGAUAACUUCGGGAAACCGGAGCUAAUACCGGAUAAUAUUUCGAACCGCAUGGUUCGAUAGUGAAAGAUGGCUUUGCUAUCACUUAUAGAUGGACCUGCGCCGUAUUAGCUAGUUGGUAAGGUAACGGCUUACCAAGGCAACGAUACGUAGCCGACCUGAGAGGGUGAUCGGCCACACUGGAACUGAGACACGGUCCAGACUCCUACGGGAGGCAGCAGUAGGGAAUCUUCCGCAAUGGGCGAAAGCCUGACGGAGCAACGCCGCGUGAGUGAUGAAGGUCUUCGGAUCGUAAAACUCUGUUAUUAGGGAAGAACAAAAGUGUAAGUAACUGUGCACGUCUUGACGGUACCUAAUCAGAAAGCCACGGCUAACUACGUG